This 287-nucleotide ribosomal RNA is filed under the name uncultured bacterium. RNAcentral's name for it is "partial 16S ribosomal RNA". It matches the Rfam family "Bacterial small subunit ribosomal RNA", at positions 337 to 616 of the family's 1533-position model. The record is from RNAcentral.
UCCUACGGGACGCAGCCGUAGGGAAUUUUCGUCAAUGGGCGCAAGCCUGAACGAGCGAUGCCGCGUGAGUGAAGAAGGCCUUCGGGUCGUAAAGCUCUGUUGCGGGGGAAAAAAGGCAGCAUCAGGAAAUGGGUGCUGACUGAUGGUGCCCCGCCAGAAAGUCACGGCUAACUACGUGCCAGCAGCCGCGGUAAUACGUAGGAGGCGAGCGUUAUCCGGAAUGAUUGGGCGUAAAGGGUGCGCAGGCGGUCCUGCAAGGCUGGAGUGAAACGCAUGGGGUCAACUGA